CCUACGGGGGGCUGCAGUGGGGAAUAUUGGACAAUGGGGGGAACCCUGAUCCAGCCAUGCCGCGUGUGUGAAGAAGGCCCUCGGGUUGUAAAGCACUUUCAGUGAGGAAGAACGCCUGGUGGUUAAUACCCAUCAGGAAAGACAUCACUCACAGAAGAAGCACCGGCUAACUCCGUGCCAGCAGCCGCGGUAAUACGGAGGGUGCGAGCGUUAAUCGGAAUUACUGGGCGUAAAGCGCGCGUAGGUGGCUUGAUAAGCCGGUUGUGAAAGCCCCGGGCUCAACCUGGGAACGGCAUCCGGAACUGUCAAGCUAGAGUGCAGGAGAGGAAGGUAUAAUUCCCGGUGUAGCGGUGAAAUGCGUAGAGAUCGGGAGGAAUACCAGUGGCGAAGGCGGCCUUCUGGACUGACACUGACACUGAGGUGCGAAAGCGUGGGUAGCAAACAGGAUUAGAUACCCUGGUAGUC
Molecule: ribosomal RNA, 465 nt
Filed under: Vreelandella stevensii
Lineage: Bacteria; Pseudomonadati; Pseudomonadota; Gammaproteobacteria; Oceanospirillales; Halomonadaceae
Description: partial 16S ribosomal RNA
Rfam family: Bacterial small subunit ribosomal RNA
Source: RNAcentral